UGGCGCAGCUUGGUAGCGCGCGUCGUUCGGGACGACGAGGUCGCAGGUUCAAAUCCUGUCACCCCGACCA
This 70-nucleotide transfer RNA is filed under the name Dermacoccus sp. RNAcentral describes it as "tRNA-Pro". It matches the Rfam family "tRNA". From Rfam's summary of the family: Transfer RNA (tRNA) molecules are approximately 80 nucleotides in length. The record is from RNAcentral. Lineage: Bacteria; Bacillati; Actinomycetota; Actinomycetes; Micrococcales; Dermacoccaceae.